RNAcentral lists this ribosomal RNA (254 nucleotides) under uncultured bacterium. RNAcentral describes it as "partial 16S ribosomal RNA". It matches the Rfam family "Bacterial small subunit ribosomal RNA", at positions 524 to 776 of the family's 1533-position model. The record is from RNAcentral.
GACGAAGGGGGGCUAGCGUUGUUCGGAAUUACUGGGCGUAAAGCGCGUGUAGGCGGUUGUUCAAGUCAGGUGUGAAAGCCUUGAGCUCAACUCAAGAAAUGCACUUGAUACUGGAUAACUAGAGGACCGGAGAGGAUAGUGGAAUUCCCAGUGUAGUGGUGAAAUACGUAGAGAUUGGGAAGAACACCAGUGGCGAAGGCGGCUAUCUGGACGGUUUCUGACGCUAAGACGCGAAAGCGUGGGGAGCAAACAGG